This 649-nucleotide ribosomal RNA is filed under the name uncultured marine bacterium. RNAcentral describes it as "bacterial SSU rRNA". It matches the Rfam family "Bacterial small subunit ribosomal RNA", at positions 71 to 716 of the family's 1533-position model. The record is from RNAcentral.
AUAAAUUACUUGUAAUUUGAUGGCGACCGGCGAACGGGUGCGUAACGCGUAUGCAACUUACCUUUUACUAGAGAAUAGCCAAGAGAAAUUUUGAUUAAUGCUCUAUGUUCUUAUUUACUCGCAUGAGUAAAUAAGCAAAGCUCCGGCGGUAAAAGAUGGGCAUGCGUCCUAUUAGCUUGUAGGUGAGGUAAUGGCUCACCUAAGCUCCGAUAGGUAGGGGUCCUGAGAGGGAGAUCCCCCACACUGGUACUGAGACACGGACCAGACUUCUACGGAAGGCAGCAGUAAGGAAUAUUGGACAAUGGAGGCAACUCUGAUCCAGCCAUGCCGCGUGAAGGAAGACGGCCUUAUGGGUUGUAAACUUCUUUUAUACAGGAAGAAACCUUUCCACGUGUGGAAAGCUGACGGUACUGUAAGAAUAAGGAUCGGCUAACUCCGUGCCAGCAGCCGCGGUAAUACGGAGGAUCCAAGCGUUAUCCGGAAUUAUUGGGUUUAAAGGGUCCGCAGGCUGUUUGUUAAGUCAGAGGUGAAAUCCUACCGCUCAACGGUAGAACUGCCUUUGAUACUGGCAAACUUGAGUUAUUGUGAAGUAGUUAGAAUGUGUAGUGUAGCGGUGAAAUGCAUAGAUAUUACACAGAAUACCGAUUGC